Molecule: long non-coding RNA, 472 nt
Organism: Nannospalax galili (Upper Galilee mountains blind mole rat)
Lineage: Eukaryota; Metazoa; Chordata; Mammalia; Rodentia; Spalacidae
Exons: 3
Source: RefSeq, a predicted model, not a curated record
CUCUAAUUCACAGAAAAUGGACUGGGAUAACAUUUGGGCUCUCAUACUACCACAGUCCCCUGGAGAAGGACAGGAAGGAGGCUAAUAAUGAAGGGGCCGGGGGAAGGAGGCCAGUGCUAUAAGGGUUAUCUCACAACCUCAGAUGCUGGAUAAGUCGAAGGAGGCAGAACGGCUCCUGGAUGACAUUCAGAAAGACUAGAGCGAUUAUUUGGAAGCAAAAAACCACCUAUUCUUUCCAAGGUACAUGAAUAUUGUCGAGACUUGCCCAUCCAAAGGUUCAAUGAUACAUCCUUAGAAUCCUGCUUUAGACAAAGGAUGCUCUUGGAGACCCAUCACACCUAAAACCACGCUUUGAAGGAUCUGCCAAGCUCACUUUUAAUCAUGAGAAAGAAAUUACCCACAUGGAGACAGCAGAAAAUGAGAAAGUAGAGCUCGUGCUGCGAAUAAUUCCAGUGAGUGCCAAGGGGCUAGU